AUGGUAAAUACUGUUUAGUCCUGGUGUUUGCGGCCAAAGCUCUUAAGUUGUCAGAUUUUGAAAAAAGACAGGAAAAAUUUGCUUCAUUCUUUGGACCAGGGAUUGCGGCUGAAGUUGGAAAGAGUGAAGAUAAUCUAUAUGAAGUCCGACU
Molecule: long non-coding RNA, 151 nt
Organism: Quercus robur (English oak)
Lineage: Eukaryota; Viridiplantae; Streptophyta; Magnoliopsida; Fagales; Fagaceae
Exons: 3
Source: RefSeq, a predicted model, not a curated record